RNAcentral lists this non-coding RNA (29 nucleotides) under Mus musculus (house mouse). The record is from RNAcentral. Lineage: Eukaryota; Metazoa; Chordata; Mammalia; Rodentia; Muridae.
UAGGAAGGUUUUGAUGGCAAUUUCCCUAG